Molecule: long non-coding RNA, 604 nt
Organism: Saccostrea cuccullata (small rock oyster)
Lineage: Eukaryota; Metazoa; Mollusca; Bivalvia; Ostreida; Ostreidae
Exons: 3
Source: RefSeq, a predicted model, not a curated record
ACAAAAUGAACUGCUGUUUUUAGCUGUUAUAUAGCAGUGUUUUACCAGUUUUUCAAAUUUACAGCUGUUAUUUAGCAGUUCUCAGCUGUUCAUUUCAUAGCUGUUUUCAAAACUGUUUCAAGAGCAGUAAGCUUAGCUGUUUUUAAGCUGUUCUUCAGCAGUUCAUCUCAGAACAGGUAAUAAAAAAACUGCUUUGGAGUUAACAGCAGUUGUCUGUUCCUGUUAGCUGUUAUGUAUAAUUUGAUCGGGAUUGAGAAACUGUUGAAAUGUCGGGCUUGGUGUUCAAUUAAUUUAAACAACAGACCGCCAAAAUUCAACAACCUUGGCUGCCAUAUUGUAUAGUUUGGAGAGAAGGCAAGAGAAUGUUUUGAAGAGGGGGAUUGUCGUCACCAAUAAGACAGAGAUUGGAUUGCUAUAUCUAACAAAAGAUGCAGAUAUUUUAUAUACACCUAUACGAUGUUUUUGUAGAAGGAGAAGAUAUAGGUGGAUGUAGUGAUUUUCUUGGACCUGAUUGGGACUAAAAAACGGGGCCUGUAUAUGAGGAUUUGCAAAUUGACCAAGAGCAGCCAGCAAACAUUAAACAUGCAGUGACCUUACAAGUAAC